Molecule: long non-coding RNA, 359 nt
Organism: Hyaena hyaena (striped hyena)
Lineage: Eukaryota; Metazoa; Chordata; Mammalia; Carnivora; Hyaenidae
Exons: 3
Source: RefSeq, a predicted model, not a curated record
CUGAGUGAAUGUAUUUGAGGUCUGAAGGCAAACAUGUGGACGUCCUUCAGCCCAUCAAGCCAGAGAGCCCAUAGAGAGAUCCUAGAGAGAUCCGCUGAGGAAAGAAAUGUGGUCCCUGCUCUGUCAAGAUGAGGAAAACAGACUCAGAGGGGAACAUGCGCAAGGUCCUGUAGAUAAUUCAAAUCGAGCUGAGACUUGAGUGUAGCUCUGUCUCCAAAGGAGGAUAUCAAUUAUGAAUCUCUCACUAGUGUUUCUGAAAAGCUACCAUGGUCAUUCCUUUCCAACUGGCUGCCAGUCCAGACUGUCUCUCCAUUAUUCACCACGUCCAUUCCAUGUAAGCUGCUUUCUGCUCUCAGUUG